RNAcentral lists this ribosomal RNA (744 nucleotides) under uncultured bacterium. RNAcentral describes it as "bacterial SSU rRNA". It matches the Rfam family "Bacterial small subunit ribosomal RNA", at positions 8 to 796 of the family's 1533-position model. The record is from RNAcentral.
AGAGUUUGAUCCUGGCUCAGAGCGAACGCUGGCGGCAGGCCUAACACAUGCAAGUCGAACGGGCCCUUUCGGGGGUCAGUGGCAGACGGGUGAGUAACGCGUGGGAACGUGCCCAUCGGUUCGGGAUAACCCAGGGAAACUUGGGCUAAUACCGGAUACGCCCUUUUGGGGAAAGAUUCAUUGCCGAUGGAUCGGCCCGCGUCUGAUUAGCUUGUUGGUGAGGUAACGGCUCACCAAGGCGACGAUCAGUAGCUGGUCUGAGAGGAUGAUCAGCCACACUGGGACUGAGACACGGCCCAGACUCCUACGGGAGGCAGCAGUGGGGAAUAUUGGACAAUGGGCGCAAGCCUGAUCCAGCCAUGCCGCGUGAGUGAUGAAGGCCCUAGGGUUGUAAAGCUCUUUCACCCACGUCGAUAAUGACGGUAGUGGGAGAAGAAGCCCCGGCUAACUUCGUGCCAGCAGCCGCGGUAAUACGAAGGGGGCUAGCGUUGCUCGGAAUCACUGGGCGUAAAGGGCGCGUAGGCGGCCGAUCAAGUCAGGGGUGAAAGCCUGUGGCUCAACCACAGAAUUGCCUUCGAUACUGUCUGGCUUGAGACCGGAAGAGGUAAGUGGAACUGCGAGUGUAGAGGUGAAAUUCGUAGAUAUUCGCAAGAACACCAGUGGCGAAGGCGGCUUACUGGUCCGGUUCUGACGCUGAGGCGCGAAAGCGUGGGGAGCAAACAGGAUUAGAUACCCNNGUAGUCC